GAACGGGUGAGUAACACGUGAGCAACCUGCCCCAGGCUUUGGGAUAACCCCGGGAAACCGGGGCUAAUACCGAAUAUGACCUCCGAUCGCAUGGUUGGUGGUGGAAAGUUUUUCGGCUUGGGAUGGGCUCGCGGCCUAUCAGCUUGUUGGUGGGGUGAUGGCCUACCAAGGCGACGACGGGUAGCCGGCCUGAGAGGGCGACCGGCCACACUGGGACUGAGACACGGCCCAGACUCCUACGGGAGGCAGCAGUGGGGAAUAUUGCACAAUGGGCGGAAGCCUGAUGCAGCGACGCCGCGUGAGGGAUGACGGCCUUCGGGUUGUAAACCUCUUUCAGCAGGGACGAAGCGUAAGUGACGGUACCUGCAGAAGAAGCGCCGGCCAACUACGUGCCAGCAGCCGCGGUAAGACGUAGGGCGCGAGCGUUGUCCGGAUUUAUUGGGCGUAAAGAGCUCGUAGGCGGCUUGUCGCGUCGACCGUGAAAACUUGGGGCUCAACCCCAA
RNAcentral lists this ribosomal RNA (503 nucleotides) under bacterium N0123. RNAcentral's name for it is "bacterial SSU rRNA". It matches the Rfam family "Bacterial small subunit ribosomal RNA", at positions 100 to 618 of the family's 1533-position model. The record is from RNAcentral.